GAUGAACGCUGGCUACAGGCUUAACACAUGCAAGUCGUGGGGAAACGGCAUUAUGUGCUUGCACAUUCUGGACGUCGACCGGCGCACGGGUGAGUAUCGCGUAUCCAACCUGCCCCUUACUUGGGGAUACCCCGUUGAAAGACGGCCUAAUACCCGAUGUGUUUCAUUGACGGCAUCCGAUAUGAAACAAAGGUUUUCCGGUAAGGGAUGGGGAUGCGUCUGAUUAGCUUGUUGGCGGGGCAACGGCCCACCAAGGCGACGAUCAGUAGGGGUUCUGAGAGGAAGGUCCCCCACAUUGGAACUGAGACACGGUCCAAACUCCUACGGGAGGCAGCAGUGAGGAAUAUUGGUCAAUGGACGCAAGUCUGAACCAGCCAAGUAGCGUGCAGGAUGACGGCCCUAUGGGUUGUAAACUGCUUUUAUGUGGGAAUAAAGUGGCGCACGUGUGCGCCAUUGCAUGUACCUCAUGAAUAAGGACCGGCUAAUUCCGUGCCAGCAGCCGCGGUAAUACGGAAGGUCCGGGCGUUAUCCGGAUUUAUUGGGUUUAAAGGGGAGUGUAGGGGGUCUGUUAUGCGUGUUGUGAAAUUGAGGUGCUCAACAUUAACUUGUGCGUGAUGUGUCAACUUGAGUGCAGUGGGUUAGGGGAAGUCUGUUGUGUGUGUUAAAUGCUUAUGUAUUGUAUGAGCUCCGGUGGCUGAGUGUGCUGUUGUGUGUUCUAAUGUGGUGCUCAAGGUGGGUGUAUUGACUGGAGUGAUGCAUGAGUGGGCGGUGGAGAAUUGGUGUGUGGUGAUGGAGCGUGGGGACCCGGGGUGUGUGAAUGAAGAACAAAGAGAAGAUGUGGUGUGAUUCUGGUGUGUGUGUUGAUGUGUGUGUAUGUGUGUGUAUGCGUGUUGUUGUGCGGUGUGUGUUUGGUGUUUGAAUGGGUGGUGAUGUGAGUGUGUUGUUGUGUGUCUUGUGUGUGCGUGUGUGUGUCCUGUGCGUGGUGUUCUGUUUGCCG
RNAcentral lists this ribosomal RNA (997 nucleotides) under uncultured Streptococcus sp. Its description in RNAcentral is "bacterial SSU rRNA". The stretch from base 1 to 530 matches the Rfam family "Bacterial small subunit ribosomal RNA", at positions 28 to 545 of the family's 1533-position model. Lineage: Bacteria; Bacillati; Bacillota; Bacilli; Lactobacillales; Streptococcaceae. The record is from RNAcentral.